Long non-coding RNA from Cyprinus carpio (common carp), 1277 nucleotides. RefSeq lists it as uncharacterized. Lineage: Eukaryota; Metazoa; Chordata; Actinopteri; Cypriniformes; Cyprinidae. The transcript is spliced from 3 exons. The record is from RefSeq and is a predicted model, not a curated record.
AGAGCGCCCUCUAGCUCUGCGUAUGAAUAAAACAUAGCCUACACUAGACAGCUCUCCGGUGAACGCUAAUCGGGAUUGUUUAGUAGCCAAAUAUGGAUGUGAUUGAUAGUAUUCUAUAAAGAAAUAUGAAGUAUACAUGAGAACGCAUUAACAUUUUUCUAAACAUUCACUCUUUAUUUCUAAACGUCCUAAGGGAAUACUUGGUUGGCAUGAACUUUAUCAGCGGUCUCAAGAUUGAACAGAAGGAAUAUGAGGACUGGGACUGUCAAGCUCAAGCAGAGACAAUAAAAGCCACAAGCAAGGGGGCCAGACUCUUACAGUGUCCUUUGGCAUUCCCUAGCAUUUGGUGACCUCUCAAUGACAGAGCUAGCAAUGGGCUGCAGCUUGCCAGGUGAGUUUUGUCAGCUUGUUCAGUUGUUCUACUUUGCCAUUGUGACACUGCAGCAAUCUAAGCUUUAGAGCAACAGAGAGCCUAGCCUCAUUAGUGCGGGACAUUUAUCAGCCACCUGCUUGUUUUAUAGCACCCUAUAGUAUCCAGCGCAAAAAUAUAUCAUCUGAAAUGCUGACAACACAAACUGACAUUUCUUUCAAAAUAAAGGCAGGACUGUCUCCGCUCUUUACAGCUUUUUUACUUUUCCGGCUACCCCACGUCAAAAGCAUUUCUGCUUUUAUUUCUCUUUUAAAUUUUUCUGUUUAAUAAAGCUGUGGUUUCCAGUGUGCACGUGGGUGUCACAUUGGCAUGUACAAGAAGUUCCACUGACUUUCAUCCUACUGAGCGUUGAGCUGUGCUGUGAGGUUUGCAGCAUCUCUGGAGCCACGGCUGAAAGGCCAUGGCCCUGUGCUAGUGUGUGGGUUAUAGGCUGGGCUGUGUGGGGUGGCCUCCGUCAAUGCUACCUCCUCCUCUGUCAUUUACUUACCACCAGCACUCCCACUGAGGAGAUGAGGCGCUGUCAGCCUGUGGUCUCUGUCAUCUGGUACACGGGGUGAAUUCUGGGUGGAGUAUUGGGGAGAGCAAGCUGCAGUCAAGAAACUCCAUGAUACUCUGGGCCAGGCAGAUAUGUGAUGGCAUUUCUUUUAUUUAUCACUACAAUAAUUAUCUGGUUUAAGCCUUUUUUUUCCUGUUUUUUUUUUUUUAAAGUUACUAGAAAAGGUGGACAUAUCUUUAUCUUAGUGAUGUGCCAUAUAUGUGUUUGUCUUUUAUUUCAAUAUGAACUCAUGUAUCAGUUACCUGGUUUCCAUUGAUAGAAUUAAUAUACAUUACUGUUCAAAUAUUUGGA